This 1390-nucleotide long non-coding RNA is filed under the name Ficedula albicollis (Collared flycatcher). RNAcentral's name for it is "lncRNA (ENSFALG00000025504.1)". The record is from RNAcentral. Lineage: Eukaryota; Metazoa; Chordata; Aves; Passeriformes; Muscicapidae.
AGCUGAAUUUGCAAUAUCACUGCCUUAUUUCCCUGCAGUUAAAAAGGAAAGAAUUGGAAUAUUUAUGAAUUUAAACAUUAGUAUUUUUGCAAGUCUUUGAGGCUGUCGUUUUGAUUUAUGUGGGCUACAUUUAGAUUUGCAUGUAAGCCCAGCCCUUGAUUGCUUUGAAACCUUUUGGUUUCACACAAACUGUUGUGUGUGAGCUGCAGUGAUGUCUCUGCUGCAGAACUCUGCAGCCCCGGUGAUUCCCCUCCAACAACUUCUGGAUCCUGCUGCUUCUGGAGAUGAUGGCACACCUUCAGCCAGCAAAGGUUUGCACUGGGGGAUUAUUUACUGGAGACUUGCAGUGUGCCAGAAUGUAAUUCCUGAGAUUGUAAGAAAGGUAACUCAGUCAAGUUGUAAAACCUUAAUGCUUUGCUGUGGUUUGUCUUGUUUGAAGGGAUCACAUUUCCUCAGCUGGCUUUUUUUGAGAGGAGCUGCUGCUGAGGAGGAGUCUGAGCCUUUCCCUGCUGUGGGCCCUGCUGGGCUGGGCUGCCCUGCCCAAACUGGCUCCUCUGGGGGAGGUGUGGGGCCAGGGCACCUGCAGGGUCUGGGGUCCUGCCUGGCUCUGAGCAGCCCCCUGAGCCCUGGGGCUUGUGUGGGGCUGGGGAGGCCGAGUGCUGUCACUGGGGCAAUCUGUGAUGUGCCCUGCAGAGCCCCAGUGCUGCCCAGAGGCAGAAACGCUGCCCGAACACCAGACCUGAUCCUACCCUGGCCUCUAUUGUCUUGUUUGUUUGUUUGUUUAAAGCUCUAAUUCUUCCAUUCCCCAGGUCGGGCUAUUGGUCUGACCCUGACCCAACACCUGCUUGGAAAAGGAAUCUGCCUUAGCACACAGAAAAGAAACCCAGCUCCGCACACCCUGCCGCGGACACGGCUGUGCCCCUGCAGGUGGGGAGGCCGGGCGGGGCUGAGCCCCGUGCUGCAGCCCAGCCCCUCAGAAAGGGCUUUCUGUGCCCGUCGGGGUGCCCGGGGUGGCAGCUUUGGGGAUUUCCUGGCUCCUGAGAGCGUCUGCAGUGUCUGCAGCUCUCCCUGCCUUGCUCCCACACCGGGCUGGGCUCUUUGGCCAGAGCACAGGUAACUGCUGGGAUCAGUGUUCAGUGGAUGGAAUCUGCAGCAGAGCAGGUGGGUACAGCCUCUGCUCUGCUCUCCUGCCGCCAGCAGCUGCUUGGACAGAGCUUUAAACAUUAUCAGCUCCCUCCUGCUUGCCAGCCCUCAGCAUGGAGUGUGCUCCUUCCCACUCCUCUCCUCUCCUCUCCUCUCCUCUCCUCUCCUCUCCUCUCCUCUCCUCUCCUCUCCUCUCCUCUCCUCUCCUCUCCUCUCCUCUCCUCUCCUCUCCUCUCCUCUCCUCUCC